GUAUAUAUUUAAAGCACGGUGUUGGGUCGUUUUGAUCUAAGUGCAUUUUGACAUGAACACGUUAUUUAAAAACGUGCGCGGCUUUUGUAGUUUUUUUUCCCCCCUCGACGAAAACAUUCUGCAGCGGACAGGUUGAAGUUUUCUCACCUGCCAGGAUAUCCAGGCUCCUACUGUGCACCUGCUUACUGACAGUCACCAGCUUAGUGUAACAACAGUGUAAAUGACGGUGUGAAUACAGUCAGAAAACAAUAGGAGAGUCACUUCAUAGUCACUUCAUAAGCUCUGACAUGAGCAUGCUGACAAAAAAAAAACAGAUGGCUAAUGUGCCCCUGAGGGGAGGGUUUGGCAAAUGAGGCGGAACCGAAGAAUUUGUCUCGUAUUGUGAGAGGAUCCAACUGCAGGAGCUGCAGGUCUGAUCCCAGACUGGAGAUCCAAUGAGAGGCAGAGGGUCAAAAACCAGGUCUUCUGCCCACUGAUCCCUGGGACCCGAAGACAGGAAACCGGGAACUGAUGGGACUUGGGGCCAUUGAUGGACAGACUAUUCAUGGAUGAUCGAGGUGCACGGGAAGGCAGACUCUGGACCAUGUAUCCAGGAACGGGACACCGCCUUACUAGACCCAAACACUCAGAACAAGACACAAGUCUCCAUGAAUCAUGAACCCUAAGAUGCUAUGCUGGGACCCAAAACCACCAGGCCAGUAACAUUUCUGUCAAACCAAAAAAAAAAACUUGAAAAACAUGGACUGACUAUCAAGCCCCCAGAAAAGAGCCUCUGAUUUGAAUCAGGGCCAUAUGCUCUAAUAACGAUGAAUGCACAGUGGGCAGUGCUUACCGCCAUUUAAAUAAGGUUGAGGUAGGGUGAUGUGUAGCUCGAUCAGCAGGUUAUGGAUCUUUACCCAUGCCUGGAAGGUGGUAGGUUCAAAUCCUGUGGCUGGAGGAGUAAUCAAAGCAGCAUUGUGCCCUUGAAUAAGGACCUUAAUCUCAAUGCUUCAGGAAUACUGGAUGACCUUGAUUCUCACUUAUACGCCACUUUGGACUAAAGUAGCUACCAAAUAAAGUAUGAUAAAGCAGGCAUGUGUAAUAAAAUAUGAUAAAGCAGGUAUGUGAA
Molecule: non-coding RNA, 1108 nt
Organism: Paramormyrops kingsleyae
Lineage: Eukaryota; Metazoa; Chordata; Actinopteri; Osteoglossiformes; Mormyridae
Source: RefSeq, a predicted model, not a curated record